RNAcentral lists this ribosomal RNA (253 nucleotides) under uncultured bacterium. Its description in RNAcentral is "partial 16S ribosomal RNA". It matches the Rfam family "Bacterial small subunit ribosomal RNA", at positions 524 to 776 of the family's 1533-position model. The record is from RNAcentral.
UACGUAGGGGGCAAGCGUUGUCCGGAAUCAUUGGGCGUAAAGCGCGUGUAGGCGGCUUGGUAAGUCUGCUCUGAAAGCCCGGGGCUCAACCUCGAGACGUCGGCGGAAACCAUCUGGCUAGAGUCCGGAAGAGGAGAGUGGAAUUCCUGGUGUAGCGGUGAAAUGCGCAGAUAUCAGGAAGAACACCCGUGGCGAAGGCGGCUCUCUGGGACGGUACUGACGCUGAGACGCGAAAGCGUGGGGAGCGAACAGG